This 376-nucleotide ribosomal RNA is filed under the name uncultured bacterium. RNAcentral describes it as "bacterial SSU rRNA". It matches the Rfam family "Bacterial small subunit ribosomal RNA", at positions 524 to 898 of the family's 1533-position model. The record is from RNAcentral.
UACAGAGGGGGCAAGCGUUAUUCGGAAUUAUUGGGCGUAAAGGGCGCGUAGGCGGCUUUUCAAGUGACGGGUGAAAUCCCUCGGCUUAACCGAGGAACUGCCUGUCAGACUGGAAGGCUUGAGACCGGGAGAGGUGAGUGGAAUUCCCAGUGUAGCGGUGAAAUGCGUAGAUAUUGGGAGGAACACCAGUGGCGAAGGCGGCUCACUGGACCGGAACUGACGCUGAGGCGCGAAAGCGUGGGGAGCAAACAGGAUUAGAUACCCUGGUAGUCCACGCCGUAAACGAUGAGUGCUUGGUGUAGCGGGUAUCGACCCCUGCUGUGCCGAAGUCAACACAUUAAGCACUCCGCCUGGGGAGUACGGUCGCAAGACUGAA